This 392-nucleotide ribosomal RNA is filed under the name uncultured bacterium. Its description in RNAcentral is "bacterial SSU rRNA". It matches the Rfam family "Bacterial small subunit ribosomal RNA", at positions 28 to 421 of the family's 1533-position model. The record is from RNAcentral.
GACGAACGUUGGCGGCGUGCUUAACACAUGCAAGUCGAGCGGUAAGGCCCUUUCGGGGGUACACGAGCGGCGAACGGGUGAGUAACACGUGGGUGACCUGCCCUCAGCUCUGGGAUAAGCCUGGGAAACCGGGUCUAAUACUGGAUAUGACUCCAUGACGCAUGUUGUGGGGUGGAAAGCCUUGUGCGGCUGAGGAUGGGCCCGCGGCCUAUCAGCUUGUUGGUGGGGUGAUGGCCUACCAAGGCGACGACGGGUAGCCGGCCUGAGAGGGCGACCGGCCACACUGGGACUGAGACACGGCCCAGACUCCUACGGGAGGCAGCAGUGGGGAAUCUUGCGCAAUGGGCGAAAGCCUGACGCAGCGACGCCGCGUGAGGGAUGACGGCCUGGUG